Cynoglossus semilaevis (tongue sole) is the source of this 2549-nucleotide RNA transcript. It is a transcript of the gene named zwilch kinetochore protein, with no coding region annotated. The transcript has 19 exons. The record is from RefSeq and is a predicted model, not a curated record. Lineage: Eukaryota; Metazoa; Chordata; Actinopteri; Pleuronectiformes; Cynoglossidae.
AUUUUUUUAUCUGUGUUGGCGAAAGAUUACCUUACCUGCCGAACUACUUUUUCAUUUCUUACUUAGUUUUAUUUUAUUUUUGGUAUUUAUAUUUUACCUACAUAUGCGGAAUAGUCGUUUCACGUGGAUUUAAUAGUUUCCCCUGUUCUCGUGUAUUUUUAAUUUUAAAAAGUUUGGUGACCCUUGACCGAGUGACGUCAAUAUAUCUGCGCGAGCGCGCGAGUGAUUAAAUAGCGUCAAACAAAGUUUGGUGGUUUUUGAACUAAAACCUGUUCUCUGUCCUAUUUUUUUUUUUUUAAGUCUGCUUCCAGGAUUACCGUGUGCGACCCAAAUGGCAUCGAGAACGGUAGCUAGUGCCAGGGGAUUUUUCGAUUUUCUUCAAUCAUUUCAAAAAGAGGAAAACAACAAUCACUGUAUAUAUGAGGACGAUUUUCAAAUAUUAAAGUUAAGGAGAGAUACAGUUCCUGUUGUCAGUAAAUACUGUGAAAACCCAAUGGUUAUUAUUUGUCAAAAAGCUGAUCCAAAAUCAAAUGGAAAUGAUGAAUCUAAAAUGAAUGAGUCCUCACACACUGAUGAUGAAGAUCAUGCAAAUGACGAAAACGAUGUAGACCAAAUUGAACCGAGUCCCCAGCCACUUACAGUCAUGAAAGCACGGCAGAUACUAUCUUGGUACACAUUAUCUCAAAACCCUUGUGUGUCAGGUGUGGCCAACAAUGCAGCUCUGCAUCCUUUGUGGGUGCGUUGUGAUAUGUCUGAUCCUGCUAAAACAAUGUGGAUGGGAGCUGAAACAGUCUGCACAGGAACUAAUGUAUCUGGUGUUAUAUUAUACUCUAUAACCAGUAAAGACUCAGCAGUAAACAAAGAAGCUUUAAUAACCUUGGAUGAGGUCAAGAGAGAACACAAGAAAAGACAUCACACAUCCUUGAUGCAAACAAAAGGCACUGCCAGGUUCAACUUGUUUGGCUCCACUGUUGUUGAAAACACCUUGAUUAAGUCACAGAGUAGUAUAACAGUGGAUUUAAACUGGAGUCAUGUAGACGGCGUCCUGGAAACCCCACCUCUGUCCUCAACAGCCACACUGAAUAUCAGAGUUGCCACUGGGGACUUGAGGAGCCCCAUGUCUGACAUGUACAGGGAGCUGGAGUUUCUCCAGUCUCUUGCUGAUGGUUUGAGAACCGGUGAGACCGAAUGGAUAGAACCUUUGGAGAGUACAUCUGCUAUAAAGCUCACCAAGGCCUAUUUGGAAGAGAUUCAAGACAUUGCAAAAACAUCCCAGGACCGGCCUACAAAAACAGAAGAUACCAAAGAGGUGAAGCCUGAGACAGACACUCCCAUUUUCUCUCUGUCUCUCCUGGAACGAAGCGACUUUGAUUUUGUGGAAGAGUUGUGGGUCCGCCUGAGAAAGAGUGUGGCAUCAUAUCAGGACAUUACAGAUAGUCUGAAAUUAGUCAUUGGAACUCUAAGUAAUGGACAAAUCAAACCCUGGAUUCACAAAGACAGCAAUAGCUCCCUCAGUAAACUCAUCCUACAGUCCCACAAGCAGCAGAUCGACGUGUCUCUCACGGGUCUCACUCCUAUCCACAUGCUGCUGGAAAUGGGACUGGACAAAAUAAGGAAGGAUUAUGUUAACUAUCUCAUUGGUGAAGAAUUGGCCACUCUGAACCACUUGUGUUAUUACCUCAGCACCGAAGUGGACCUGCAAGAGCAAGUGAGCCGACUGAGGAAACUGCACCAUCUACUGGAAACAACCGUCACCUGCCGUACAUUCCUGGGUUUGCCUUAUGACCGUCUGUUUCUGCUAACACAGAUGUGUUCAGAACACUACAAAACGAACCCAUAUGACGAGAAACAUGAAUUCAAGCUCAAAAUCAAAUCAGCUCUGAUCAGCCAUUUUUAUCAGAAAGAGCAACCAACUGAGUGGGUGGCCGAGGUGUUCAGUGGUCAUAGCCCUCAUGAGGUCAGAACAUCCUUGCAUUUGAGUGACAGACCACUGUGUGACCAUGUCAACUUUUCAACAGGUAUCCUGGAUGAAACCAAUGGUGACAGUGAGGAUCCUGUGUUUUUCUCCGCCAUGGUGUGCGCCAGUGUGGUCAAGUUAUGCUGAAAUAACUCUGAAAUCUGUGUAUGUAUAAAGUAAAAUGUAGCUUGCACAUUAAUAUAUUGUAUCAUAUAAACUGUUUGCUAUAGCAGCUGUAAAUCCUUAAACAAAACGUCUAAAAAGCUUCUAAAGUCACGGUGACAGUGAAUUUCCACAGCAGUGUUUUAUUAGUGAAGUCAAACUUGUCGCAGGACUGUUCACACUGAUUUGUACCUGUCAAAUGAAUGACAUUAGUAAUCUCCCCAAGUACAUCUGAAAUACCGGGGUUGCAUUCAAACCUGCUCCAUUGUUGUGUUGUUGCUUUAAACACACACGCACGUCUAGUUUCGCCUCCGCAACAAAAACAUAAGCAAGAUGGCACUGAGCAGAAUGGAAAGUGUGCACACGGUGGGUACGACGAUCUCCGUCACCAUCUCCAUGUGGCUGGUCAGGGGAUCUGUGAACACACAGU